Molecule: non-coding RNA, 431 nt
Organism: Nicotiana tabacum (common tobacco)
Lineage: Eukaryota; Viridiplantae; Streptophyta; Magnoliopsida; Solanales; Solanaceae
Source: RefSeq, a predicted model, not a curated record
UUAAAGGGAACUUUUGAAAGUGGUAUUCCAAAGGCCAUUGAAUCUAUUACGAAGCUUUUCAACCUUGUUCUCUUGAGAUUCAAGGCAAAUUAAAUGUCCUCCAGUUCGCGGUUUUCAGAUGAUGCAACAGUAUGCCCAACAAUCACAAACUACGAUUGUAGUUAAUUUUCAUUCAAGAUUCGGGACGUUCGGAAGCCAAUUUGAGAGACAAAAGCAUUUCAGAGUAGGAUUUUGCUAGGAUUGAGAUCUAGAUACUUCUGGUCACGAUGGUUGCUGAUUGAGGAGUCAGACUCAAGAGACUAUUGAGGUAGCUGCAUAGCGUUCGCUGACCUUGAUUCUCCAUUCCUUUCAUGUUGUAUUGUUCUAUAUUUCUAGACAGUGUUUUAUUAGUCGGAUGUUGUUAUCAUUUAGAUGCUCAUGUACUCAGUGAC